GAAACACGGACCAAGGAGUCUAACAAAAUCGCAAGUCAAUGAGCAGUAUGCUUAAAGGCGAAAUGAAAUGUGAAGGCAUUUUCAUGCUCAGACGUAAUCCGCAUUUAUGCGGCGUAACGUCUUCCCGUUUAUGUGGCUUUGUCCUCUAAGCGGAGGUAGAGCGAUUGUGUUAGGACCCGAAAGAUGGUGACCUAUGCCUGAGCAAGAUGAAGCCAGAGGAAACUCUGGUGGAGGUCUGAAGCGGUUCUGACGUGCAAAUCGAUCGUCUGACCUUGGUAUAGGGGCGAAAGACUUAUCGAACCAUCUAGUA
RNAcentral lists this ribosomal RNA (310 nucleotides) under Trigonuropoda sp. AL5727. RNAcentral's name for it is "eukaryotic LSU rRNA". It matches the Rfam family "Eukaryotic large subunit ribosomal RNA", at positions 656 to 949 of the family's 3401-position model. Lineage: Eukaryota; Metazoa; Arthropoda; Arachnida; Mesostigmata; Trigonuropodidae. The record is from RNAcentral.